AUUGAACGCUGGCGGCAGGCCUAACACAUGCAAGUCGAACGAGUGGCGGACGGGUGAGUCAUAUCUGGGAACCUGCCCGAUGGAGGGGGAUAACUCCUGGAAAGGGUAGCUAAUACCCCCUACCAUCGGAUGCGCCCAGAUGGGAUUAGCUAGUAUGUGGGGUAAAGGCGUACCUAGGCAACGAUCCCUAGCUGGUCUGAGAGGAUGACCAGCCACACUGGAACUGAGACACGGUCCAAACUCCUACGGGAGGCAGCAGUGGGGAAUAUUGCACAAUGGGCGAAAGCCUGAUGCAGCCAUGCCGCGUGUGUGAAGAAGGCCUUCGGGUUGUAAAGUACUUUCAGCGGGGAGGCGUAACCAGCAUAAUAAGCACCGGCUAACUCCGUGCCAGCAGCCGCGGUAAUAC
RNAcentral lists this ribosomal RNA (406 nucleotides) under uncultured bacterium. Its description in RNAcentral is "partial 16S ribosomal RNA". It matches the Rfam family "Bacterial small subunit ribosomal RNA", at positions 30 to 526 of the family's 1533-position model. The record is from RNAcentral.